RNAcentral lists this ribosomal RNA (546 nucleotides) under Staphylococcus aureus. RNAcentral's name for it is "bacterial SSU rRNA". It matches the Rfam family "Bacterial small subunit ribosomal RNA", at positions 1 to 528 of the family's 1533-position model. Lineage: Bacteria; Bacillati; Bacillota; Bacilli; Caryophanales; Staphylococcaceae. The record is from RNAcentral.
UUUUAUGGAGAGUUUGAUCCUGGCUCAGGAUGAACGCUGGCGGCGUGCCUAAUACAUGCAAGUCGAGCGAACGGAUGAGAAGCUUGCUUCUCUGAUGUUAGCGGCGGACGGGUGAGUAACACGUGGAUAACCUACCUAUAAGACUGGGAUAACUUCGGGAAACCGGAGCUAAUACCGGAUAAUAUUUUGAACCGCAUGGUUCAAAAGUGAAAGACGGUCUUGCUGUCACUUAUAGAUGGAUCCGCGCUGCAUUAGCUAGUUGGUAAGGUAACGGCUUACCAAGGCAACGAUGCAUAGCCGACCUGAGAGGGUGAUCGGCCACACUGGAACUGAGACACGGUCCAGACUCCUACGGGAGGCAGCAGUAGGGAAUCUUCCGCAAUGGGCGAAAGCCUGACGGAGCAACGCCGCGUGAGUGAUGAAGGUCUUCGGAUCGUAAAACUCUGUUAUUAGGGAAGAACAUAUGUGUAAGUAACUGUGCACAUCUUGACGGUACCUAAUCAGAAAGCCACGGCUAACUACGUGCCAGCAGCCGCGGUAAUACGU